RNA transcript from Manihot esculenta (cassava), 3291 nucleotides. It is a transcript of the gene named probable protein phosphatase 2C 35, with no coding region annotated. The transcript has 4 exons. NCBI's taxonomy places the organism in Eukaryota, Viridiplantae, Streptophyta, Magnoliopsida, Malpighiales, Euphorbiaceae. The record is from RefSeq and is a predicted model, not a curated record.
GGUUUUAAAUUAUUUAUAAGUUCAUCUCAAAGAGUACAAGUAGUAAAUCAAGAUAACCCCUCCGCCAAACCAUUUAAAGAGCACCAUCAGUUCGUCAUCGGCCGGAACAAAGACUAUUAUCCCAUUCAUCUAAUUUCUAGCUAAUGCUUGGGAAAGAUAACAAAGCAAGCAGCACAAACCUGAAAAACAACAGAAUAGAGCUGAUGGAGGAAAAGGCACCAGACCAGAGUCCGGAUAAAACAAGGCAUGUCCACAAUAGAGCUCAAUUUGACUAGUUCCAACUGAAGAAUAAGGAAAAGAAAAGCCCACGUUCAUGUCAUCUUCAUCCAGCUACCAGUCUGAAAUGAGCCAAGAGCGAUCGAAGUAGAUUUCAUAUGAAAGGCGCAUCCCCAGGCGAAUUGAGCCCUUGAUGUCCUUUAUAUUUUUACAUAUUGAUAAUGGUAAUAUGUAACAGUAUAAAUGUUGAACUUUUAAUGUAACUUUGUAAAAACGCAGGGGAGGAAAUUUCAUUAAAAAAAGGGCAGGAAGUUUAUUUAAUUUUAUGCAAUCCAAAGAAGAAACUAUAUAAAAAUGGAAGAAAAAUGAAGCGAUCGACUUGUGUCUGGUCUUGUUCCCUGGCACACGCAAAAGAAGAAAGCCAAAAUCUUUAGAGAGAUUAAUGCAUGGUCUUGGUCUUUGGCAAUACUCUCUCUCUCCCUCUCUCUCUCCCUCCCUCACUCACUUGGCUCCUCCGUGUCUCUGUGUUGUUUUCUUGGAAGACGGGCUCUUGUCUCUGUACAAACAAAAUCCACCCAUGCGCACAUCGAAUCUCUCUGUUUCGCUUUCUGUUGAAAGGAAUACCUUCAUUUGCGUCAUCAUCAAACCCCUCAUUGUCAUAUUCUUUACUUUCUUGUGGCUUUCAUUUACUUCAGUCUUUACAUUGCUACUUCCUUUCUUCUUCUUCUUGAGCCCUGAUCUGGUAACCAGAAUGCCUGCAUUUCUUUUUCUUUCCAAACCUCAUGAAAGCAGCAGAUCCCCGACGUUUCUCUGCGGCUAAAAUGCUACUCACUUUUGCUUCUCUGUAGCUUUACUUUUCUUUAGUUUUAUUGAGGGAAAAAGAAUUCGUUUCUUCUGUGCAGGAUAUUCUAAUCUGUGAAUGAUUUCCAUAGAGAAUGUUUUCUUGGGUGUAACCCAGAUGUAGAUCAUCAUUAUUUUAUAAGCAAAUUUUCUCUUUAGAAGUGAGUUUUUGGGUUAUUUGGCUCCUAGGGUUUGUUUGUUCGUUCUUCCCUCUUGGCCCUUCUCUACAUGAAUUCGCCUCAAAAUUACUCUUGCCGGAGCUUCAUUGUCGAAUUUAGAGGAAAGCCCAGUCGACCACUUCCAUCAUAACUUCAUCUCUGCUAUUUUAAGAUCCAAAUCCAGAUAGGUUCGUGUUUCUUUAGGGCAUUCAGCAAACAGCAAGUCUGAAGUUCGAAAAUUUUCUCUUUUUUACCCCUCGAUUGCCUACCAAAAAUAUGGGCUGUGUCCACGGCAAGUGUUGUAGCCGCUACCCGUCAUCAACAGAUGGUGAUUCAAAGGACUACCAUGAAGCGGAACAUGUUGGUAAUAAACACAUACUCACUCAGAGAUCACUGGAGAUUAUUCCUGUCCCGUCCCAUAACUUAAAGUUGCAGUACUCUGUUCUGACUCAGCGAGGUUACUACCCAGACUCACCAGACAAGGAAAACCAAGACAGUUUCUGCAUUAGAACUCAAAUUCAAGGUAACCCUAAUAUGCAUUUUUUUGGUGUAUUUGAUGGCCAUGGUGUAUAUGGUGCUGAAUGUUCAAAUUUCGUUAAGGAUAGGUUAGUGGAGAUAUUAGCAGAUGAUCCCUCGUUGUUGAAUGACCCUGUUAAAGCUUAUAGUUCUGCAUUUUUAAGGAUGAAUUCUGAGUUACAUAGUAGUAAAAUUGAUGAUACAAUGAGUGGUACCACUGCUAUAACUGUUCUUGUUAUUGGAGAUAAGAUUUAUGUUGCCAAUGUGGGUGAUUCCAGAGCAGUAAUUGCUGUUAAAAAUGGGAAUAGAAUUAUAGCUGAAGAUUUGUCUAAUGAUCAAACCCCAUUUAGGAAAGAUGAGUACGACAGAGUCAAAUUAUGUGGGGCUAGAGUUCUGAGUGUUGAUCAAGUGGAAGGGUACAAGGAUCCUGAUAUACAGUUAUGGGAUGAUGAGGAAAGUCAAGGGGGAGAUCCUCCAAGGUUGUGGGUGCAGAAUGGGAUGUAUCCGGGGACUGCAUUUACGAGAAGUGUAGGGGAUAGUACAGCUGAGACGAUUGGCGUUAUUGUUGAUCCAGAGGUUUCCAUUGUUCAGCUCAUGCCCAAUCAUUUGUUCUUCGUGGUUGCAAGUGAUGGAGUUUUUGAGUUCCUCUCAAGCCAAGCUGUUGUUGAUAUGGCAGCAAGAUAUGCCGAUCCCCGAGAUGCAUGUGCAGCCAUUGCGGGAGAGUCAUAUAAACUAUGGCUGGAGCAUGAAAGUCGGACAGAUGAUAUUACAAUUAUUAUUGUACAGAUUAAAAACCCAUCUUAUGUGUUGAUGCUAUGGAUGCGACUGUUGAAGUCAAUGGGAACCCAAUGAGUUCAAGGAGAAAAGAGAAUUCUGAAUUUUCUAUUGCCUCUGGGUCUGAGAUUUACCGUUCAAUGAGGAGUGAAUUGUCAGAUCAGCAACUUUCAGCUAGCCGAAGUGCAGCUAUUGUUGUUCCAUCUCCAUCUCAUCAGAGAUCCCUGGAAUUGGAUGGGGGUUAAUGAUCCUGGAUUGAAACUGAGUUUGUUCCGCAUACAAGAUAUACUGAACCGAAGAUCUUCACGCAAGCCAUGGUUUCUGAGCAAUGUUGCUGAAACACUGCCAAUAACCAACAAAAUGGCUUGAGGAGAACAGAAUACUUCUCCUUUGUGCUGUCAUACCGAGCAGCUGGUAGAUCCAAAGACGGGGGACUUGGGUAGCAAAGUUGGAGGGAGAUUCCUGGAGGCUGGGAAAUGAUAAUUGUAAAUUUGCGUAAGCUAUAUUAUAGUUUCUCAUUCACAUUGUAUUCAGGAAGAAAAAAUAUCAUAAAGUUGUUUGCUUUGAUAUCUGCUGCCGGUUAUGAUCCUCCCUCCCUCCUUCCUCUAGUCUUCUUUAUCUCUAUUAAUAGGGUAAUAUAUUAUUCCUGAUAUUUGGCAUCUCUUGUCAUCAAUGCUUUGUUCAGAGAAUCAUGCCUGAUCCUAGUAGCAGCAGCCAGCAAGGCAUUGAUUCACUUAACAAGUGAAAAAUAAAUGGAUUAUCUAUUUUAAAAUAGAUCUUUUUUUCA